RNAcentral lists this ribosomal RNA (253 nucleotides) under uncultured bacterium. RNAcentral describes it as "partial 16S ribosomal RNA". It matches the Rfam family "Bacterial small subunit ribosomal RNA", at positions 524 to 776 of the family's 1533-position model. The record is from RNAcentral.
UACGUAGGGCGCAAGCGUUGUCCGGAAUUAUUGGGCGUAAAGAGCUCGUAGGUGGUUUGUUACGUCUGCUGUGAAAACCUAGGGCUUAACCCUGGGCCUGCAGUGGAUACGGGCAGACUAGAGGUAGGUAGGGGAGAUUGGAAUUCCUGGUGUAGCGGUGGAAUGCGCAGAUAUCAGGAGGAACACCGAUGGCGAAGGCAGAUCUCUGGGCCGUAACUGACGCUGAGGAGCGAAAGCGUGGGGAGCGAACAGG